AAAAUACUACUAUCAAGUGAUAUUUCCACAUGAUUUUCUUAUAUUUUCACACAGUAGGACCCACAUUUAAAACAUGGUUGAGUAGCUGCUGAAACUUAACAAUAAUACCAAAUUCAUUUUUCCAAACUACCCUCACCUAAUACAUAGCAUAUCAUACAUUGAUUACUCCAAUCUCAUUGUUUCACAGAAAACAUUACUUAAAAAAAAAUCCACUCAUAUUACAAUCAUUACAGUAAACAUGUUCACUUCAAAAACAUAUUACACUAAACAUAACAUCUUUUCAUAAACUUUAAAUUCUACCACUGUAGAAUUAUCAAAUUCAUUUUCUUCAAAAGUCCAAACUGGCAUCAUGUAAACUUGCAACAGGUGCAUCAUCAGUCCAAAAUUGGCACCAAAACUGUAGACAUAAAUGAACACAAUAGGAAAAUAAAAACAUUAAAAAUGUGUUUAUUUUUAAGACAUUCAAUGUACAAUAUUACACUUCAACAAUUGCGUAUAUGUCUUCAUGAUCCGUGGUCAUAGAAGACAUUGAAAAAACUAGCAUAUAAAACAUGAUUAAACCAAAGAAGUAUUUGCCCAAAUAGGCAUUUGCCAUAUUAAAACAUGAUAUGUGGUUACAGGCAAGUAUCUGUCAUAUUAAACCAAAGAAAUAUUUGCCCAAAUAAAAAAUACAUUAUUAUUAUUUUGGAAUAACCAAUCUAUCUCAAACAGGAAAAGAUAAAAAAAAAAAAUCAAAUAGAGAAGAAACAACAACAUACUUGAAGCGAUUCAAUCUGAUUUCUAAUGAGAUAAAAAGAUAGUGCAACCGGUUACUUGGUAAGUCCGGGUAUGAAGGAGAUUAUAUUCUUCAACAAAUGCGUCAAAAUUCACGUGAACCUAGAGCAAUGAAUUAUAAGACCUUAUGCUAAAGGUCCAAAUAUCACCAUCAUAGAAUGAAAAAUUUCAAGUGCAUACAACUUCUAUACUUAAAUCUUAAUGAUGCCCAAUACACAUUAGAAACGGAGAAUACUAGAGCACCCAAAAUACAAAAAAAAACACCCACCUCAGAUCUAUCAAAACUAGAAUAAAGAUAGGUAAGUCAAAAGCAAACAAAUUCAAGCAUACCAAAACUCCAAGAAAAUGGUGAGUGAGAUACCUUGAAUGAGAAUGAUGAGUUGUAGAGACAAGAAGAGAAGCUGUCGUUGUCGCCGAAAAUUGCAGCAAUCAAAAUUGGGGGCUUCUUUUUUUUAAAGUAGGACAAUAAUGAGGGAGGAGAGAGGGGAAAGUGCGUAGUGAGCAGAGGAGAUUGACAGAGGAGGCAGCAGCAGGAGAUUGACAGAGGAGGUGAGGGUUAGUGGAUAACUGAGGGUAAAAAUG
This 1356-nucleotide long non-coding RNA is filed under the name Panax ginseng (ginseng). Its description in RNAcentral is "long non-coding RNA (PGIN_LNC002932)". The record is from RNAcentral. Lineage: Eukaryota; Viridiplantae; Streptophyta; Magnoliopsida; Apiales; Araliaceae.